UACAGAGGGGCAAGCGUUAUUCGGAAUUAUUGGGCGUAAAGGGCGCGUAGGCGGCUUGGCAAGUGGAAGGUGAAAUCCCUCGGCUUAACCGAGGAACUGCCCUCCAAACUGCUUUGCUUGAGGCCGGGAGAGGCGAGUGGAAUUCCGUGGAUGUAGCGGUGAAAUGACGCAGAUAUCAGGAGGAACACCGAUGGCGAAGGCAGCUCGCUGGGACGGUACUG
Molecule: ribosomal RNA, 221 nt
Filed under: uncultured bacterium
Lineage: Bacteria
Description: partial 16S ribosomal RNA
Rfam family: Bacterial small subunit ribosomal RNA
Source: RNAcentral